RNAcentral lists this ribosomal RNA (253 nucleotides) under uncultured bacterium. Its description in RNAcentral is "partial 16S ribosomal RNA". It matches the Rfam family "Bacterial small subunit ribosomal RNA", at positions 524 to 776 of the family's 1533-position model. The record is from RNAcentral.
UACGAAGGGGGCUAGCGUUGUUCGGAAUUACUGGGCGUAAAGCGCACGUAGGCGGCUGUGUAAGUUAGAGGUGAAAGCCCGGGGCUCAACCCCGGAAUUGCCUUUAAGACUGCAUCGCUUGAAUCCGGGAGAGGUGAGUGGAAUUCCGAGUGUAGAGGUGAAAUUCGUAGAUAUUCGGAAGAACACCAGUGGCGAAGGCGGCUCACUGGACCGGUAUUGACGCUGAGGUGCGAAAGCGUGGGGAGCAAACAGG